UGGGGAAUAUUGGACAAUGGGCGCAAGCCUGAUCCAGCCAUGCCGCGUGAGUGAUGAAGGCCCUAGGGUUGUAAAGCUCUUUCACCGGUGAAGAUAAUGACGGUAACCGGAGAAGAAGCCCCGGCUAACUUCGUGCCAGCAGCCGCGGUAAUACGAAGGGGGCUAGCGUUGUACGGAUUUACUGGGCGUAAAGCGCACGUAGGCGGACUUUUAAGUCAGGGGUGAAAUCCCGGGGCUCAACCCCGGAACUGCCUUUGAUACUGGAAGUCUUGAGUAUGGUAGAGGUGAGUGGAAUUCCGAGUGUAGAGGUGAAAUUCGUAGAUAUUCGGAGGAACACCAGUGGCGAAGGCGGCUCACUGGACCAUUACUGACGCUGAGGUGCGAAAGCGUGGGGAGCAAACAGG
This 404-nucleotide ribosomal RNA is filed under the name Brucella melitensis. RNAcentral describes it as "partial 16S ribosomal RNA". It matches the Rfam family "Bacterial small subunit ribosomal RNA", at positions 355 to 776 of the family's 1533-position model. The record is from RNAcentral. RNAcentral also lists the same sequence under 1 other name. Lineage: Bacteria; Pseudomonadati; Pseudomonadota; Alphaproteobacteria; Hyphomicrobiales; Brucellaceae.